RNAcentral lists this unclassified non-coding RNA (305 nucleotides) under plant metagenome. RNAcentral describes it as "partial contains 5.8S ribosomal RNA, internal transcribed spacer 2, and large subunit ribosomal RNA". The stretch from base 1 to 105 matches the Rfam family "5.8S ribosomal RNA", at positions 50 to 154 of the family's 154-position model. The record is from RNAcentral.
GAAAUGCGAUAAGUAGUGUGAAUUGCAGAAUUCAGUGAAUCAUCGAAUCUUUGAACGCACAUUGCGCCCUUUGGUAUUCCUUAGGGCAUGCCUGUUCGAGCGUCAUCUAAACCUUCAACCCCUGCUUGGUGUUGGGUGCCUGUCCCGCCUCCGCGCGCGGACUCACCUCAAAUCCAUUGGCGGCCCCCGCGUCGGCCACGAGCGCAGCAGAAACGCGAACUCGUGAGCCCGUCCGGGCGGCUCCCAGAAGCUACACCCACCCAGUUUGACCUCGGAUCAGGUAGGGAUACCCGCUGAACUUAAGC